RNAcentral lists this ribosomal RNA (429 nucleotides) under uncultured Pseudomonas sp. Its description in RNAcentral is "bacterial SSU rRNA". It matches the Rfam family "Bacterial small subunit ribosomal RNA", at positions 355 to 776 of the family's 1533-position model. Lineage: Bacteria; Pseudomonadati; Pseudomonadota; Gammaproteobacteria; Pseudomonadales; Pseudomonadaceae. The record is from RNAcentral.
UGGGGAAUAUUGGACAAUGGGCGAAAGCCUGAUCCAGCCAUGCCGCGUGUGUGAAGAAGGUCUUCGGAUUGUAAAGCACUUUAAGUUGGGAGGAAGGGUAGUAACUUAAUACGUUGCUACUUUGACGUUACCGACAGAAUAAGCACCGGCUAACUUCGUGCCAGCAGCCGCGGUAAUACGAAGGGUGCAAGCGUUAAUCGGAAUUACUGGGCGUAAAGCGCGCGUAGGUGGUUCAGUAAGUUGGAAGUGAAAUCCCCGGGCUCAACCUGGGAACUGCUUUCAAAACUGCUGAGCUAGAGUACGGUAGAGGGUGGUGGAAUUUCCUGUGUAGCGGUGAAAUGCGUAGAUAUAGGAAGGAACACCAGUGGCGAAGGCGACCACCUGGACUGAUACUGACACUGAGGUGCGAAAGCGUGGGGAGCAAACAGG